RNAcentral lists this unclassified non-coding RNA (377 nucleotides) under Hevea brasiliensis (rubber tree). The record is from RNAcentral. Lineage: Eukaryota; Viridiplantae; Streptophyta; Magnoliopsida; Malpighiales; Euphorbiaceae.
AUGCUCCGGUGUAGCCAUUUUCAGGUAUAAUUUAAAGGAACAGGACGAGUUUGUUUGUAAAAGAAGAACAUUUUUGAUAUCAUUGAGUGAAAAAAAGUGAAAUGCCGGAAACCCUUUUGUUGUCGAGUCAGAUUCCUGAAAUAUCGACUAGAAGGAAGGAGAAUACGAAGGAAGUGGAUGAGGAGGAGAAAGAGAAGAUUCUAGAAUCAGCUACGACGACGACGACGACGACGACCCCGAGGUCAGUUAUCAUCAUUCCUCGGAGCAAAUCACAAGCAACAUCAAGGAGAGUUAUUCCGACGGAUGGUACAAUUUGUGCAGCGUCUGGUACAACUAGUACUAGCUCAAACGUUGGGGUAGUGGAAAAGCACCUUCCG